UACGGAGGGUGCAAGCGUUAUCCGGAUUCACUGGGUUUAAAGGGCGCGUAGGAGGGCAGGUAAGUCAGUGGUGAAAUCUCCGGGCUUAACUCGGAAACUGCCGUUGAUACUAUCUGUCUUGAAUGCCGUGGAGAUGAGCGGAAUAUGUCAUGUAGCGGUGAAAUGCUUAGAUAUGACAUAGAACACCAAUUGCGAAGGCAGCUCGUUACACGAACAUUGACUCUGAGGCUCGAAAGCGUGGGGAUCAAACAGG
Molecule: ribosomal RNA, 253 nt
Filed under: uncultured bacterium
Lineage: Bacteria
Description: partial 16S ribosomal RNA
Rfam family: Bacterial small subunit ribosomal RNA
Source: RNAcentral